This is a long non-coding RNA of Alligator mississippiensis (American alligator), 557 nucleotides long. RefSeq lists it as uncharacterized. NCBI's taxonomy places the organism in Eukaryota, Metazoa, Chordata, Crocodylia, Alligatoridae. The record is from RefSeq and is a predicted model, not a curated record. The transcript has 3 exons.
UCAAUCUUUGGAGAUUUAAAGUGCUCACUCAAAUGCACUGAAUGAGAGGAAUGUUUCAGCUCCAAUCAGCUCCUGUCUUCUUUGGAAACGUUGGCCUUGAGAUUCCAGCCUCUGAAGCUCAGUCAGUGAUUGGGACCUCAUGGUGCCAGGUGCCGUAUGGAGGGGUAAGGACCAAGACCUUAGUUGACCUAGAGACCUCAUGGCUUACAUGCCAGAUGGGAGCCCAGCAGCUGGAUGAAACAGAAAGAUGAAGUAUGAGAGGAGUUCUGCUGGAGCGAAUGGACAAAAGGAGCCACUCAGAGAAACGUGGCAAUGAUAAGAUACAUCCCCAAGUCUCUCCAGCAGUCCCAUUUAAGCGUGCUAUUACAAGACCAGUAACACGGCAAGUUCAGGCAAAUGGAUCUCGCCCGGCUCUCUGCUCCCACCACCCACUUCACAGCUGUCCCCAUCUGGAGGAUGAAAUAAUGAGAAGUUAUAAAGGAGGCUGCAAAGAAUCACCUACUAUCCUGCACCUGCCAAAAGGGUGGAUUAACUGUCUGGUUCUUUUAGGAAUGGAA